GAUGAACGCUGGCGGCGUGCCUAAUACAUGCAAGUCGAGCAAACGGACGCGAAGCUUGCUGCUCUGAUGUUAGCGGCGGACGGGAGAGUAACACGUGGAUCACCUACCUAUAAGACUGGUAUAACUUCGGGACACGGUAGCUAAUACCGGAUAAUCUUCUGAACCGUAGUGUUCAAUAGAAAAAGUCGGUCUUGCUGGAACGUAUCGCUGGUUCCGCGCUUCAUUAGCUAGUUGGUAAGGUAACGGCCUACCAAGGCAACGAUGCGUAACCGAACUGAGAGGGGGAUCGGCCACAUUGGAGCUGAGACGGGGUCCAGAGUCCUAAGGGAGGCAGCAGUAGGGAAUGGGACGCAGCAGGCGAAAACCUGACGGAACGACGCCGAGUGAGAGACGAAGGUGUUCGGAGCGGAAUAAUGUGUUAUGAGUGAAGAACAGAUGUCGAAGUAGAUGAGGAGAUCUUGACGGUAAUGAGUAAAAAAGCAACGGCUAACUACGUG
This 497-nucleotide ribosomal RNA is filed under the name uncultured bacterium. RNAcentral's name for it is "partial 16S ribosomal RNA". It matches the Rfam family "Bacterial small subunit ribosomal RNA", at positions 28 to 507 of the family's 1533-position model. The record is from RNAcentral.